AUUGAACGCUGGCGGCAGGCCUAACACAUGCAAGUCGAGCGGAUGAAGGGAGCUUGCUCCUGGAUUCAGCGGCGGACGGGUGAGUAAUGCCUAGGAAUCUGCCUGGUAGUGGGGGAUAACGUCCGGAAACGGGCGCUAAUACCGCAUACGUCCUGAGGGAGAAAGUGGGGGAUCUUCGGACCUCACGCUAUCAGAUGAGCCUAGGUCGGAUUAGCUAGUUGGUGGGGUAAAGGCCUACCAAGGCGACGAUCCGUAACUGGUCUGAGAGGAUGAUCAGUCACACUGGAACUGAGACACGGUCCAGACUCCUACGGGAGGCAGCAGUGGGGAAUAUUGGACAGUGGGCGAAAGCCUGAUCCAGCCAUGCCGCGUGUGUGAAGAAGGGCUUCGGAUUGUAAAGCACUUUAAGUUGGGAGGAAGGGCAGUAAGUUAAUACCUUGCUGUUUUGACGUUACCAACAGAAUAAGCACCGGCUAACUUCGU
Molecule: ribosomal RNA, 483 nt
Filed under: uncultured bacterium
Lineage: Bacteria
Description: partial 16S ribosomal RNA
Rfam family: Bacterial small subunit ribosomal RNA
Source: RNAcentral